This 230-nucleotide ribosomal RNA is filed under the name uncultured bacterium. Its description in RNAcentral is "partial 16S ribosomal RNA". It matches the Rfam family "Bacterial small subunit ribosomal RNA", at positions 524 to 752 of the family's 1533-position model. The record is from RNAcentral.
UACGGGGGGGAGCAAGCGUUGUUCGGAUUUACUGGGCGUAAAGGGCGCGUAGGCGGCGUGACAAGUCACUUGUGAAAUCUCCGGGCUUAACUCGGAACGGUCAAGUGAUACUGUCGGACUAGAGUACAGAAGGGGCAACUGGAAUUCUCGGUGUAGCGGUGAAAUGCGCAGAUAUCGGGAGGAACACCAGUGGCGAAGGCGACUUCCUGGCCUGUUCUUGACGCUGAGGC